AUGCCUGCUCCAGUCUGGUUCCAGAGGAGCAGUAGGCAUGGGAUGAGAGGAGCAGAUGUCUUCAGCUACAGCUGGGAUACUGCCAUGACUGUGAGACGCUACCCCACUGUCUCCCCAGCUCCUGCUCCUUCCAGCACAAGGUCCCACGGGGCUGGCAGGAAGCCUCCAAGCAAUGGGCUCCCAGAGGUGCCAGGCAGUGCCCAGCCACCAGCCCCUCCUGCUCCAGCACAGCUCAGCAGGGAAGAGGAGAAAGGGCUUGAAAAAUCACCAGCCUGUUGUCUCUCCUACAGCCACUCCAGCAACAUGAAGAUGUUUCAGGAGCAUGUCUAUAAGUGCCAGGGUAAAGUGAAGGCUGUGAGUUUCCUCUUACCAAUGGAUAUGUCAUCAUUUGCUGAAAAGCAAGGUUCUCUCAAAAGCCCACAAAAUCAGAGCACAAAACAUCUAAUGACCAUCACUGAAAAGGAUAUGUGA
RNAcentral lists this long non-coding RNA (471 nucleotides) under Parus major (Great Tit). RNAcentral describes it as "lncRNA (ENSPMJG00000017201.1)". The record is from RNAcentral. Lineage: Eukaryota; Metazoa; Chordata; Aves; Passeriformes; Paridae.